Molecule: ribosomal RNA, 471 nt
Filed under: uncultured bacterium
Lineage: Bacteria
Description: bacterial SSU rRNA
Rfam family: Bacterial small subunit ribosomal RNA
Source: RNAcentral
GACGAACGCNGGCGGCGUGCUUAACACAUGCAAGUCGAACGGAGCGAAUGAAAGCUUGCUUUUAUGAGCUUAGUGGCAAACGGGUGAGUAACACGUAGACAACCUGCCGACAGGAUGGGGACAACAUUCCGAAAGGAAUGCUAAUACCGAAUGAAGCGGAGGAGAGGCAUCUCUCUUCCGUGAAAGAUGGCCUCUUUUUAUGCUAUCACCUGUUGAUGGGUCUGCGUCUGAUUAGCUGGUAGGUGAGGUAACGGCUCACCUAGGCGACGAUCAGUAGCCGGUCUGAGAGGAUGAACGGCCACAUUGGGACUGAGACACGGCCCAGACUCCUACGGGAGGCAGCAGUGGGGAAUCUUCCGCAAUGGGCGCAAGCCUGACGGAGCAACGCCGCGUGAGUGAAGAAGGUCUUCGGAUCGUAAAGCUCNGUUGACGGGGACGAACGUGCGUGAUGCGAACAGUGUCAUGCAANGA